AUGGCCUACCAAGGCGACGACGGGUAGCCGGCCUGAGAGGGUGACCGGCCACACUGGGACUGAGACACGGCCCAGACUCCUACGGGAGGCAGCAGUGGGGAAUAUUGCACAAUGGGCGCAAGCCUGAUGCAGCGACGCCGCGUGAGGGAUGACGGCCUUCGGGUUGUAAACCUCUUUCAGUAGGGAAGAAGCCGUAAGGUGACGGUACCUGCAGAAGAAGCGCCGGCUAACUACGUGCCAGCAGCCGCGGUAAUACGUAGGGCGCAAGCGUUAUCCGGAAUUAUUGGGCGUAAAGAGCUCGUAGGCGGUUUGUCGCGUCUGCUGUGAAAGACCGGGGCUCAACUCCGGUUCUGCAGUGGGUACGGGCAGACUAGAGUGCAGUAGGGGAGACUGGAAUUCCUGGUGUAGCGGUGAAAUGCGCAGAUAUCAGGAGGAACACCGAUGGCGAAGGCAGGUCUCUGGGCUGUAACUGACGCUGAGGAGCGAAAGCAUGGGGAGCGAACAGGAUUAGAUACCCUGGUAGUCCAUGCCGUAAACGUUGGGCACUAGGUGUGGGGGACAUUCCACGUUUUCCGCGCCGUAGCUAACGCAUUAAGUGCCCCGCCUGGGGAGUACGGCCGCAAGGCUAAAACUCAAAGGAAUUGACGGGGGCCCGCACAAGCGGCGGAGCAUGCGGAUUAAUUCGAUGCAACGCGAAGAACCUUACCAAGGCUUGACAUGAACCGGUAAUACCUGGAAACAGGUGCCCCGCUUGCGGUCGGUUUACAGGUGGUGCAUGGUUGUCGUCAGCUCGUGUCGUGAGAUGUUGGGUUAAGUCCCGCAACGAGCGCAACCCUCGUUCUAUGUUGCCAGCGGUUCGGCCGGGGACUCAUAGGAGACUGCCGGGGUCAACUCGGAGGAAGGUGGGGACGACGUCAAAUCAUCAUGCCCCUUAUGUCUUGGGCUUCACGCAUGCUACAAUGGCCGGUACAAAGGGUUGCGAUACUGUGAGGGGAGCUAAUCCCAAAAACCGAUCUCAGUUCGGAUUGGGGUCUGCAACUCGACCCCAUGAAGUCGGAGUCGCUAGUAAUGCAGAUCAGCAAC
This 1083-nucleotide ribosomal RNA is filed under the name Paenarthrobacter ilicis. RNAcentral describes it as "bacterial SSU rRNA". It matches the Rfam family "Bacterial small subunit ribosomal RNA", at positions 260 to 1356 of the family's 1533-position model. Lineage: Bacteria; Bacillati; Actinomycetota; Actinomycetes; Micrococcales; Micrococcaceae. The record is from RNAcentral.